This 486-nucleotide ribosomal RNA is filed under the name uncultured bacterium. Its description in RNAcentral is "bacterial SSU rRNA". It matches the Rfam family "Bacterial small subunit ribosomal RNA", at positions 326 to 793 of the family's 1533-position model. The record is from RNAcentral.
ACGCGAUGACUCCUACGGGAGGCAGCAGUAAGGAAUAUUGGACAAUGCUCGCAAGAGUGAUCCAGCCAUUCCGCGUGCAGGAUGACUGCCCUAUGGGUUGUAAACUGCUUUUAGAUGGGAAGAAAGUGCGACAUUUAUGUUGUUUUGACGGUACCAUCAGAAUAAGGACCGGCUAACUCCGUGCCAGCAGCCGCGGUAAUACGGAGGGUCCAAGCGUUAUCCGGAAUCACUGGGUUUAAAGGGGUGCGUAGGCGGAUAACUAAGUCUAAGGUGAAAGUCUGUGGCUUAACUAUAGAAUUGCCUUGGAUACUGGUUAUCUUGAAUUGGGUUGAGGAUGGCGGAAUGUGACAUGUAGCGGAUGAAAUGCAUAGAUAUGUCAUAAGAACCAUCCGAAUUGGCGGCAAAUGGCAGGCCCAUUCUUGGGCCUUGAUUGACGGCUGAGGCACAGAAAGCGUGGGGAGCGAACAGGAUUAGAUACCCUGGUAG